GACGAACGCUGGCGGCGUGCUUAACACAUGCAAGUCGAACGGAAAGGCCCUGCUUUUGUGGGGUGCUCGAGUGGCGAACGGGUGAGUAACACGUGAGUAACCUGCCCUUGACUUUGGGAUAACUUCAGGAAACUGGGGCUAAUACCGGAUAGGAGCUCCUGCUGCAUGGUGGGGGUUGGAAAGUUUCGGCGGUUGGGGAUGGACUCGCGGCUUAUCAGCUUGUUGGUGGGGUAGUGGCUUACCAAGGCUUUGACGGGUAGCCGGCCUGAGAGGGUGACCGGCCACAUUGGGCCUGCGAUACGGCCCAGUCUCCUACGGUAGGCAGCAGGGGGGAGUAUUGCCCAAUGGGCGGAAGCCUGAGGAAGCAACGCCGCGUGCGGGAUGACGGCCUUCGGGUUGUAAACCGCUUUCGCCUGUGACGAAGCGUGAGUGACGGUAAUGGGUAAAGAAGCACCGGCUAACUACGUG
RNAcentral lists this ribosomal RNA (468 nucleotides) under uncultured bacterium. Its description in RNAcentral is "partial 16S ribosomal RNA". It matches the Rfam family "Bacterial small subunit ribosomal RNA", at positions 28 to 507 of the family's 1533-position model. The record is from RNAcentral.